Molecule: ribosomal RNA, 255 nt
Filed under: uncultured bacterium
Lineage: Bacteria
Description: partial 16S ribosomal RNA
Rfam family: Bacterial small subunit ribosomal RNA
Source: RNAcentral
GAUCCUGGCUCAGGACGAACGCUGGCGGCGUGCUUAACACAUGCAAGUCGAACGAAAAUACCAAGCUUGCUUGGUUGAUUAGUGGCGAACGGGUGAGUAACACGUGAGUAACCUGCCCCUUACUUUCCUGGAUAACUGCUCGAAAGGGUAGCUAAUACGGGAUAUUCUGACCAGCCUGCAUGGGUUGGUUUGGAAAGGUUGUUUUUCUGGUAAGGGAUGGGCUCGCGGCCUAUCAGCUUGUUGGUGGGGUGAUGG